GCCUCCAGGUUAGCUCAGUUGGUUAGAGCUAUGUGCUUGUGUUCCGGUGGUCGUGGGUUCAAGCCCCACACCAGGCA
Mya arenaria is the source of this 77-nucleotide non-coding RNA. Lineage: Eukaryota; Metazoa; Mollusca; Bivalvia; Myida; Myidae. The record is from the annotation of a RefSeq genome assembly.